UACCUUAGCUAGGGGAGCCUUGAGGCUGAGAGUCCGAGCAGUCGGACGACCCUCACAACCUGACCUGGGUAAUACCAGCGUAGGGAAGCCGGACACCAACGGA
This 103-nucleotide non-coding RNA is filed under the name Candidatus Nitrospira nitrificans. Its description in RNAcentral is "TPP riboswitch aptamer (THI element)". It matches the Rfam family "TPP riboswitch aptamer (THI element)". From Rfam's summary of the family: Vitamin B(1) in its active form thiamin pyrophosphate (TPP) is an essential coenzyme that is synthesised by coupling of pyrimidine and thiazole moieties in bacteria. RNAcentral also lists the same sequence under 1 other name. The record is from Rfam by way of RNAcentral. Lineage: Bacteria; Pseudomonadati; Nitrospirota; Nitrospiria; Nitrospirales; Nitrospiraceae.